Molecule: ribosomal RNA, 1542 nt
Filed under: Salmonella enterica subsp. enterica serovar Muenchen
Lineage: Bacteria; Pseudomonadati; Pseudomonadota; Gammaproteobacteria; Enterobacterales; Enterobacteriaceae
Also listed under: 10 other names
Description: bacterial SSU rRNA
Rfam family: Bacterial small subunit ribosomal RNA
Source: RNAcentral
AAAUUGAAGAGUUUGAUCAUGGCUCAGAUUGAACGCUGGCGGCAGGCCUAACACAUGCAAGUCGAACGGUAACAGGAAGCAGCUUGCUGCUUCGCUGACGAGUGGCGGACGGGUGAGUAAUGUCUGGGAAACUGCCUGAUGGAGGGGGAUAACUACUGGAAACGGUGGCUAAUACCGCAUAACGUCGCAAGACCAAAGAGGGGGACCUUCGGGCCUCUUGCCAUCAGAUGUGCCCAGAUGGGAUUAGCUAGUUGGUGAGGUAACGGCUCACCAAGGCGACGAUCCCUAGCUGGUCUGAGAGGAUGACCAGCCACACUGGAACUGAGACACGGUCCAGACUCCUACGGGAGGCAGCAGUGGGGAAUAUUGCACAAUGGGCGCAAGCCUGAUGCAGCCAUGCCGCGUGUAUGAAGAAGGCCUUCGGGUUGUAAAGUACUUUCAGCGGGGAGGAAGGUGUUGUGGUUAAUAACCGCAGCAAUUGACGUUACCCGCAGAAGAAGCACCGGCUAACUCCGUGCCAGCAGCCGCGGUAAUACGGAGGGUGCAAGCGUUAAUCGGAAUUACUGGGCGUAAAGCGCACGCAGGCGGUCUGUCAAGUCGGAUGUGAAAUCCCCGGGCUCAACCUGGGAACUGCAUUCGAAACUGGCAGGCUUGAGUCUUGUAGAGGGGGGUAGAAUUCCAGGUGUAGCGGUGAAAUGCGUAGAGAUCUGGAGGAAUACCGGUGGCGAAGGCGGCCCCCUGGACAAAGACUGACGCUCAGGUGCGAAAGCGUGGGGAGCAAACAGGAUUAGAUACCCUGGUAGUCCACGCCGUAAACGAUGUCUACUUGGAGGUUGUGCCCUUGAGGCGUGGCUUCCGGAGCUAACGCGUUAAGUAGACCGCCUGGGGAGUACGGCCGCAAGGUUAAAACUCAAAUGAAUUGACGGGGGCCCGCACAAGCGGUGGAGCAUGUGGUUUAAUUCGAUGCAACGCGAAGAACCUUACCUGGUCUUGACAUCCACAGAAGAAUCCAGAGAUGGAUUUGUGCCUUCGGGAACUGUGAGACAGGUGCUGCAUGGCUGUCGUCAGCUCGUGUUGUGAAAUGUUGGGUUAAGUCCCGCAACGAGCGCAACCCUUAUCCUUUGUUGCCAGCGGUUAGGCCGGGAACUCAAAGGAGACUGCCAGUGAUAAACUGGAGGAAGGUGGGGAUGACGUCAAGUCAUCAUGGCCCUUACGACCAGGGCUACACACGUGCUACAAUGGCGCAUACAAAGAGAAGCGACCUCGCGAGAGCAAGCGGACCUCAUAAAGUGCGUCGUAGUCCGGAUUGGAGUCUGCAACUCGACUCCAUGAAGUCGGAAUCGCUAGUAAUCGUGGAUCAGAAUGCCACGGUGAAUACGUUCCCGGGCCUUGUACACACCGCCCGUCACACCAUGGGAGUGGGUUGCAAAAGAAGUAGGUAGCUUAACCUUCGGGAGGGCGCUUACCACUUUGUGAUUCAUGACUGGGGUGAAGUCGUAACAAGGUAACCGUAGGGGAACCUGCGGUUGGAUCACCUCCUUA